GGAUCAAUGAUGAUUCCCCCCAAAAAAACCAAACCAACAUUCCUUGGAGCUGAACAAAAUGAGUGAGAACUCAUACCGUCGUUGUUCUCAUCGGUAACUCAGGUCC
Molecule: non-coding RNA, 106 nt
Organism: Myotis davidii
Lineage: Eukaryota; Metazoa; Chordata; Mammalia; Chiroptera; Vespertilionidae
Source: Rfam